CACUGUGCAGGUUAAGCAGAAUACGUCUGCCGCCGGAUGGGCCCACAUCUGUUGCAGUGCCUUUGGUUUCAUGCCGACCUCCCCAGGGCUGUGAUGUCUGCCUCCCCUCACCGUGUACCUGGAGGAGGAGGGACGCCAGUAAGGAAGGAAGGUGGCUGGGGAGAGAGGGAAAGUGGAAGGCCUGUGCAGCCGGGUGGCAAGUUCUCCCACUCAGAACAUUGAUCAGCCGACCCGCGUGAUAUAUUGAGUUCGUUUCCACAGGAGCUCUGUGUGUCCGGGAGCUGGGCCGUGACAGCCCGAUAGUAGGAGCAAGCAGCGAUCCUAUCUCUGCCCACAAUGCAUGAGUCGUCUCAUCAGAUGCCAGGAGGGAGAGAUGAUGCUCUGAGCCUAUACUCAGCAAAAAUGAAUAUCUACUUCCAUUUUCCUGGCCCACCCGUGUCCUAUUGUGGAGAAAAGUGCUUCUCUCUGCUCUCAGAAGUCAUGAAGACUGCUGCCCUGUCCUGCCGUCAUCUGCCGCACCCUCUGGGUGUCGCUUCAGAACCUGGCUUCAGACGUGGCCGUCAGCUGCCUGAGAUUCAGAUUACAGAUGCCACAUCACCAGCCCCCAAAGCACCAGCCUGGGACCUUUGUCCAUCAUCCAUGUCACCCAGUCAUCGGGUAGAAGGAAAAAGACAAGCAUAUUUGCCAAUUUAUCCAAGUCUUCUAGGCCGCUGGGGACAUUUCCAGAUACCCCUUGAUUCUGGUCUUGUGAAACUUUCCAGAAAGAUGGCUGAGGCUGGCUUUCCUCCCUGCAGCCUGAGCUCUCAAUCUGGCACAGUGUCUGCUACCAUCUCUCCUCCAGGGCAUGUUCUUGUGUCUGGAGGAGUGAGAGGUGCAUCAGAAGAACCAAGACCAGCCACAGCGAAACACAGCAGCCCUCCCCUGGUCUGCCAGAGCAAUAAGCCAAGUUUGUUUGGCUCCAGACUGUCCAGUUUUGCCCACCCAUUGGGGGCUUUGCUGGGGGGAGGGCAGAGCUGGGCUACUGUAGGAGAGAGUGCAUUCAUUCACAAGUCAAUAG
Long non-coding RNA from Bos taurus (domestic cattle), 1057 nucleotides. The record is from Ensembl. Lineage: Eukaryota; Metazoa; Chordata; Mammalia; Artiodactyla; Bovidae.